This is a non-coding RNA of Cinara cedri, 114 nucleotides long. Lineage: Eukaryota; Metazoa; Arthropoda; Insecta; Hemiptera; Aphididae. The record is from the annotation of a GenBank genome assembly.
GUCGGUUACGGGGACAUGGCGCCCAAGACGUACGUGGGCAUGUUUGUCGGAGCCCUGUGCGCGCUGGCCGGAGUAUUGACCAUCGCACUGCCGGUGCCGGUCAUCGUCUCCAAC